Molecule: non-coding RNA, 197 nt
Filed under: Alkalibacterium sp.
Lineage: Bacteria; Bacillati; Bacillota; Bacilli; Lactobacillales; Carnobacteriaceae
Description: T-box sequence
Rfam family: T-box leader
About the family: Uncharged tRNA acts as the effector for transcription antitermination of genes in the T-box leader family. T-boxes are found upstream of many aminoacyl-tRNA synthetase genes and some amino acid biosynthetic genes usually in Gram-positive bacteria.
Source: RNAcentral
AACAGAGUGAUGAACAGGCGCAGUAGUCUGGCUGAUUUAUUUAUAGAGAGCAGGUGGCUGGUGAAAACCUGUAUGAUCAGACAAGACGAAUUACACCUUGGAGCUGCCUUCACAGGCGCGACCCGGCGUUAUGGGUAUAAGCGAAGCAGUUUUACUGCUUUAAUUUGGGUGGUACCACGGCACUGUUCGUCCCGACA